AUUGAACGCUGGCGGCAUGCCUUACACAUGCAAGUCGAACGGCAGCGCGGGGCAACCUGGCGGCGAGUGGCGAACGGGUGAGUAAUAUAUCGGAACGUGCCCUGGAGUGGGGAUAACGUAGCGAAAGUUACGCUAAUACCGCAUACGAACUAAGGUUGAAAGCGGGGGAUCUUCGGACCUCGUGCUCAUGGAGUGGCCGAUAUCUGAUUAGCUAGUUGGUGAGGUAAAGGCUCACCAAGGCGACGAUCAGUAGCUGGUUUGAGAGAACGACCAGCCACACUGGAACUGAGACACGGUCCAGACUCCUACGGGAGGCAGCAGUGAGGAAUAUUGGUCAAUGGUCGCAAGACUGAACCAGCCAUGCCGCGUGCAGGAUGAAGGCCCUCUGGGUUGUAAACUGCUUUUCUCAGGGAAUAAACCCUUCUACGUGUAGAAGGCUGAAGGUACCUGAGGAAUAAGCACCGGCUAACUCCGUCGCCAGCAGCCGCGGUAA
This 493-nucleotide ribosomal RNA is filed under the name uncultured bacterium. Its description in RNAcentral is "bacterial SSU rRNA". It matches the Rfam family "Bacterial small subunit ribosomal RNA", at positions 30 to 523 of the family's 1533-position model. The record is from RNAcentral.